CAGUCGCCGCGGGAAUACGGAGGGGGCUAGCGUUGUUCGGAAUUACUGGGCGUAAAGCGCACGUAGGCGGCUUGGUAAGUUAGAGGUGAAAGCCUGGAGCUCAACUCCAGAAUUGCCUUUAAGACUGCCGAGCUAGCAGGUGAGAGAGGUAAGUGGAAUUCCGAGUGUAGAGGUGAAAUUCGUAGAUAUUCGGAAGAACACCAGUGGCGAAGGCGGCUUACUGGCUCAUACUGGACGCUGAGGUGCGAAAGCGUGGGGAGCAAACAGGAUUAGAUACCCCCGUAGUCCCUGUCUCUUAUAC
Molecule: ribosomal RNA, 301 nt
Filed under: uncultured bacterium
Lineage: Bacteria
Description: partial 16S ribosomal RNA
Rfam family: Bacterial small subunit ribosomal RNA
Source: RNAcentral